This 406-nucleotide ribosomal RNA is filed under the name uncultured bacterium. RNAcentral describes it as "partial 16S ribosomal RNA". It matches the Rfam family "Bacterial small subunit ribosomal RNA", at positions 30 to 526 of the family's 1533-position model. The record is from RNAcentral.
AUUGAACGCUGGCGGCAGGCCUAACACAUGCAAGUCGAGCGAGCGGCGGACGGGUGAGUCAUGUCUGGGAAACUGCCUCAUGGAGGGGGAUAACUACUGUGAACGGUAGCUAAUAACGCAUACGCUCAGAUGUGCCCCGAUGGGAUUAGCUAGUAGGUGGGGUAAGGGCUCACCUAGGCGACGAUCCCUAGCUGGUCUGAGAGGAUGACCAGCCACACUGGAACUGAGACACGGUCCAGACGCCUACGGGAGGCAGCAGUGGGGAAUAUUGCACAAUGGGCGCAAGCCUGAGACAGCCAUGCCGCGUGUAUGAAGAAGGCCUUCGGGUUGUAAAGUACUUUCAGCGAGGAGGCGUUACUCGCAGAAGAAGCACCGGCUAACUCCGUGCCAGCAGCCGCGGUAAUUC